UGGGGAAUAUUGCGCAAUGGGGGAAACCCUGACGCAGCAACGCCGCGUGAGUGAUGAAGGUCUUCGGAUUGUAAAACUCUGUCUUUGGGGACGAUAAUGACGGUACCCAAGGAGGAAGCCACGGCUAACUACGUGCCAGCAGCCGCGGUAAUACGUAGGUGGCAAGCGUUGUCCGGAUUUACUGGGCGUAAAGAGUAUGUAGGCGGACAUUUAAGUCAGAUGUGAAAUCCCCGGGCUUAACCUGGGAGCUGCAUUUGAUACUGGGUGUCUAGAGUGUAGGAGAGGAAAGUGGAAUUCCUAGUGUAGCGGUGAAAUGCGUAGAGAUUAGGAAGAACACCAGUGGCGAAGGCGACUUUCUGGACUAUAACUGACGCUGAGAUACGAAAGCGUGGGGAGCAAACA
RNAcentral lists this ribosomal RNA (402 nucleotides) under uncultured prokaryote. RNAcentral describes it as "bacterial SSU rRNA". It matches the Rfam family "Bacterial small subunit ribosomal RNA", at positions 355 to 774 of the family's 1533-position model. The record is from RNAcentral.